UAAACCCUGACGUAACCCUUUGGCCGAGUUAAUAACGCUUUGUGUAUCAUUUGUCGUUCUCGAGAUACACUCGAUCGGCUCGGAUAUCUAAUCGGUAGGUACACGCUUGUAUUACACGCCUAGAAAAGAGAGAGAGAGAGAGAGAGAGAGAGAGAGAGAGAGAGAGAGAGAGAGAGAGAGAGAGAGAAAAGUAACUCCUGUCUUUCUCUUCGGCGAUAGUUAAAUAGUUUUGCACCGUGUUAGAGGAACCAAACUCACGCGCUUCUCUUAUUUCUCUUUUAUAUAUAGAGAUAUUUAUAUAUCUCUUUUUUCCGUCCUUGCCUUUUCGCGAAGCUUGCGCUAUUUAUUAUUUAUUACCACUAGAGAUAAACUUGAUUACCCGUAAAUGGAAUUUAUCGCGGUACCGCAAUGUCGCGAGCAUUCUCUGCGAGGAAUUAUGCAGGGCUCUCGCGUUACACAUCUUUUUCAUCGUAACGAUUAAUGGCCAAUUACAUCGAUGUUUCCCUACAUUGGAAAUGUACCCAAUCGACUAAAGAGAUCGAGUGUCGGAGAUCUUCUUGAAAAGAAGAGAAACGUUUCAACCUGCUUUCGUCCAACGUUGGCGCGACCAAACGCGACAUGAAAGAUUCGACCAAAGGGACGUGGAAAGCAGAGAUAGGUUUGGUCGGGAAGCGAGAGAGAAAGAAUCCAUGGGAUUGGGAUAAUGUUCGUCGAGGGUCGCUCGUGUGAGAGGGAACAUAGAAAGGCUAUGUGGGUUAAUGGUAAAUACGAUAAUUAAUAAAUCAUACGAAUUAUCACAUA
This is a long non-coding RNA of Vespa crabro (European hornet), 801 nucleotides long. RefSeq lists it as uncharacterized. The transcript has 2 exons. NCBI's taxonomy places the organism in Eukaryota, Metazoa, Arthropoda, Insecta, Hymenoptera, Vespidae. The record is from RefSeq and is a predicted model, not a curated record.